Molecule: long non-coding RNA, 253 nt
Organism: Episyrphus balteatus (marmalade hoverfly)
Lineage: Eukaryota; Metazoa; Arthropoda; Insecta; Diptera; Syrphidae
Exons: 3
Source: RefSeq, a predicted model, not a curated record
UCGAAAACGAAACAAAUGCAUUUUUUGUUACAUAUUUUGUUUAUAAUUAAAUGAAUAAAUUUGCAACGCAUAUCAUUUGAAUCAACAAAAGUACAAACUGAUCAGAUAUAUCCUGUGCUGGGCUUAACUCUAUAGAACCCAGGCGAUUGUAUAAACCAAAGUCUUAAAAGCAAAUUCCCAGGAAGUUUCUAUCUUCCCCAGUAUUUUUCCUUCCUUAAAAAAAAAAUAAACGGAGUUCUGCUAACAAGGAGCU